Bos taurus (domestic cattle) is the source of this 2243-nucleotide long non-coding RNA. NCBI's taxonomy places the organism in Eukaryota, Metazoa, Chordata, Mammalia, Artiodactyla, Bovidae. The record is from Ensembl.
AGAUAAGAUGAGGAAACCUUCCCUUCAGGGACAAAGCAGGGGCACUCAGAAGCCUGGUCCUGCCUUAAAAAAAGGGAAAAAGAGCCAGCCUCCUGAUUUCGCCCUGACAUCGGCUGAAUCUGAAACCACUUGGCCCAAAUUGGACUCUUUAGGGUCACAAACAGUGAAGAAAAAGUGGAGGAAACACCACGUGGGAGGUUCCUGGGUUGAUUUACCCCUGUCUUCAGCUGUGUGACCUCAGGCAAGAAUAAGCAGCUGACAAGUUGGAAGCAACGAUGGGGGGUGGGCCUGGCGACACAGCUGCGGAGUCCCUUCCUCCCCCUGGAACCACCUUCAGCUGCUGCAGAUCUCUUUCCAGGAAGGCUGCUUCUCCUUUCCCUCCAGCCUAGAUCUGAAACUCAGUGAUGAAUUUCUGCUGCUUUCAGAAACAAUUCAAGUUUCCCUUGUGUAUUUCACGGCAAGAAAAGAAACUCAUUCAGAUCACCUGCUCUGCUCUCCUCCUUGCAGUGGGAAGGACCGGUCCGUCCUGAGAUGCCCUCUGCGAUGGAAGGCUCUGGAUGGCUGCAUCACAAGGACUAAGGUUGGAGAGAUGCCGCCUGGACCAGGAGGAAAUGAGUGAGCCAGAGAAGCAUCCUCAACUUUCCGAUCACCAUGGUGACCCCUGUUUAUUGAAUACAUGCCACUGGCCAGGCACUGUUCUCAGCCCCUUAGAAACUCUGACAUUUUUCAUCCUGGCUACAACCCCACUUAGUUGGGACUAUUGUUAUCUCCAUUCUGCGGAGAAGAAAACUAAAGUUCCAAGAGGUUAAGUCACUCAGACAGAAGACUGAAGACCUCAAGCAGACCCUGAAGCCAGGCUCCCCAUCACUUCCUUCCAUUGCCCUUCAGCCUCUGAUAGUAGAAGCAGAAGAGGCCAGAUACCAGAGCUUACAAGAUGGGACGGGAAGGAAGGAGUAGAUUUUAUAGAUCCUCCAGGAGGGUUAAAAAAAAAAAAAUGCUAGCAGGGCUUGGUUUAUGUGUGAUUAGUGUCCCAUAUAACUAAUUACACUGGGACAAGAAGGGGAAGCCAGACAAGUCUGGGCCACCCCCCCCAGAUGGAGAGGAAUGACCAGAGACCUUAGCAGCCCAAUGCCUGUGACACAGCAAAAAGAGAAAUUGCAGGUGGUUGAGAUGGUCAACUUGAGUGCAGGUCACAUCUGCACACCUGAUCAGGGUACUAAUGACCCCACUCAGAUGUCAUAGAAGCAAACCUGGGGUCUCCAAUCACCUGACCCCAAAGCCUUUUGACCAGUGUAUCAAUUAGAGGCAGCCAGAGCAAUGGAGCCUAUAGUAGGAGAUACAGAUUUAUUGUAAGGCAACAGCCUACAUGGUUUUGAGGGCUGCUGGCUGGGCAAAGUUGAAAUAUACUGGUCCACUGGGCCAGACUAUCAUCCCCUGCUUUUCAAUGAAACCUACAUCCAGAGGUUGCAGAAAAACCUGCUGGGAAGGUAUUUUAAUAGAAGUGAUCAAAGUUCACCAUCUGUUGAGUUUAUUUUAUUCUUUUGGCCAUAUUAUAGCAUGUGGGAUCUUGGUUCCCCAACCAGAGGUUGAACCCAUGACCCCUGCAAUGGAAGUGCCGUCCUAGCCACUGGACCACAGGAAAUUCCUCAUCAGUUGAGUUUAAGUAAAGGAGAUUAUCCUCAAUAAUGUGGGUGAGCCUCAUCCAAAGAGGUGAAAGGUCAUAAGAAUAAGAUUUCCAGCCUGCUGUGUGGAUUUCAAGCUUGCCCAGCCAGCAGCCUUCAAAACCAUGUAGGCUGUUGCCUUACAAUAAGUCUCCAUCUCCUACUAUAGGCUCCAUUUCUCUGGCUGGGCCCUAACUGAUGCACUGGUCAAAAGGCUUUGGGGUCAGGAGAUCCCAGUUUUGCUUGUAUGACAUCCAAGUGGGGUCAUCAGUACCCUGUUCAGGUAUGCAGAUAUGACCUGCACAAAGUCACUUAGCUUUGGAGGGAAACGGGCUUCAGUCUAGCCCCUACCUUACUCCCAAGUUAUCCUUCCUGGCCUGGAUCUGUGUCUGCCCCUUACUCCAGUUUGCACAAAUCUCAUUCCAGCAAAUGGUGUGUUCCCCUCUGAGAGGUUUCACCUUUUCCUACUUCACACAAGCACCUAUGUUGUGGACCCCCUUGGAUAGGUUAUUAAAUCCUUCUGAGUGUCGUCUCCUCAUCUAUAAGAUGGGAGUUAUAUCCUCAAAAUGGAGAGGGUUAUAU